RNAcentral lists this long non-coding RNA (869 nucleotides) under Homo sapiens (human). Its description in RNAcentral is "HSALNT0304502". The record is from RNAcentral. Lineage: Eukaryota; Metazoa; Chordata; Mammalia; Primates; Hominidae.
CCCACCCCAAGGGAACAAUCAGGGAAGAAGGAACGCAAGACGGUGGAAGCAUGCCAACCUAUUAAACCGCAAGUCAGAGAUCAAACCAUGUACUUGAAUCUCUCAAGUUCCCGGCUUAACCCUCUUCCAAGUAGCAUUGCGAAGCUGAUCUCAGACAAACGCAGCCCAUGGAAGAAUGCUAAGUGCUCGUGAUUGGUUAAAACUCAAAUAAAAAGUUGAAGUGGAGACGAUAUAUACCUGUUCCAAAAUACAGAUCCUCAUUUGAAAAUGGAAAAAGAAAAGAAAUGGAGGCAUUGUGUGAUAUUUGCCUAAAUAUAACUAAAGAGAUCCAUUUAUUUUUAGUGUUUGAUUAAAAACCCUCAAAGGAAAAGAGAAAUUUUGAUCUUUGAGAAGAGCUGUUUCAUCACAGGGUGAAGUUGUUUCCUGAGCCCUUUGAUCUGAAAUGACCUUGCGACCUGGAACCAGCAGACAGCCUGAGGGAGGCAGUGCAUGUUCUGAGCCAGGGCCUCAGGAGGCCUGCAGCUGCCAUUCUGCUUCUGUUGGAACAUGACCUCCUUGAGAACACUCCCAGGCCUGACUGCAGGGUGGGGAGACCACACAGAGCAGAGCCGAGCCACCGGGAUGAGGCCCCUAGAUCACCCAGCUCCCAGCUGACCACAGAUCAUGAGUGAUCCCGUUUCUCCCUAGGUCAAGGGUGAUGUUUUGCUCAGAGAAAACUGAAGUUUGGAUUGUUCCAGUCCUGCAUCACAUCCUGUUUCAGGCUGCCCUAAAACAAAACCAGAAACAACCAUCACCACAAAACACCAUACCUUCAAUAGUCUUCUCAGUGUUCAGAAUAAAGGCUCUGGUUUUCCCUUGGGCUCAAUUUU